RNAcentral lists this ribosomal RNA (261 nucleotides) under uncultured prokaryote. Its description in RNAcentral is "partial 16S ribosomal RNA". It matches the Rfam family "Bacterial small subunit ribosomal RNA", at positions 524 to 784 of the family's 1533-position model. The record is from RNAcentral.
UACGUAGGGACGAGCGUUGUCCGGAAUUACUGGGCGGUAAAGGGACGCGCAGGCUGUAGAUCAAGUCAGCUGUGAAAUGUCUGGGCUUAACCCGGGCAUGCGGUUGAAACUGAUGUACUGGAGUGCUGUAGAGGCAAGUGGAAUUCCCAGUGUAGCGGUGAAAUGCGUAGAUAUUGGGAAGAACACCGGUGGCGAAGGCGACUUGCUGGGCAGCAACUGACGCUGAGGCGCGAAAGCCAGGGGAGCAAACGGGAUUAGAUA